RNAcentral lists this ribosomal RNA (305 nucleotides) under uncultured bacterium. RNAcentral's name for it is "bacterial SSU rRNA". It matches the Rfam family "Bacterial small subunit ribosomal RNA", at positions 338 to 660 of the family's 1533-position model. The record is from RNAcentral.
CCUACGGGGGGCAGCAGUGGGGAAUAUUGCACAAUGGGGGAAACCCUGAUGCAGCAACGCCGCGUGGGUGAAGGAGCGUUUCGGCGCGUAAAGCCCUGUCAGCGGGGAAGAAGAAAGACGGUACCCGACCAAGAAGCCCCGGCUAACUACGUGCCAGCAGCCGCGGUAAUACGUAGGGGGCGAGCGUUAUCCGGAUUUAUUGGGUUUAAAGGGUGCGUAGGCGGAAUAUCAAGUCAGCGGUAAAAAUUCGGGGCUCAACCCCGUCGUGCCGUUGAGACUGAUGUUCUUGAGUGGGCGAGAAGUAU